This 45-nucleotide non-coding RNA is filed under the name Schistosoma haematobium. Lineage: Eukaryota; Metazoa; Platyhelminthes; Trematoda; Strigeidida; Schistosomatidae. The record is from RNAcentral.
ACCUAACUGACGAGUGCCAAAUAACACGAAACUCGAGUCCAGAGU